This 510-nucleotide long non-coding RNA is filed under the name Marmota monax (woodchuck). Lineage: Eukaryota; Metazoa; Chordata; Mammalia; Rodentia; Sciuridae. The record is from RNAcentral.
GUUUGCCUGAGUUCUGUGAGCUGCUCAAGCAAAAUAAUUAAACUAGAGGAUGGAGUCAUGGGAACUACACUUAAUGCUCAAUUGUUCAGAAGCACAGAUUAAAACAACCUGAGACUUGUGACUAGAAUCUAAAGUGUGUGGGCAGUCCUGUGGGAUCUUACACUAUCUCCAGGUAGAUAGUGUCAGAACUGAAUUAAAUUAAAGGACACACAGCUGGUAUUCAUUGCUGAAUUGCUUGCUUGCUGUUGGGGAGAAGCCCCCACUCAUUUUGAGGUCACCAAAAUCUUCUGUAUUGAUUGCUGUUGAGUGAGAACAGAGGAAAAAUGCAAUUUGUUUUUUCCAACACAGGAGGCAAUUAGUAUUCAAAGAGGUCAUGUUGGUGGGACUGCCACGAUGGCAUUAGUAAGUUUAUAAGAAGAAGAGAAACCGAAGCUAGCACACUUACUUUGUCUUAUGUGAUGUCCUCGGACACGUUUUGAUGCAGCAUGAAGGCCCUAACUAGAUACCAAU